This 4133-nucleotide long non-coding RNA is filed under the name Homo sapiens (human). RNAcentral's name for it is "HSALNT0094669". The record is from RNAcentral. Lineage: Eukaryota; Metazoa; Chordata; Mammalia; Primates; Hominidae.
GGAGGCUGAAGCAGGAGAAUCACUUGAACCUGGGAGGGAGAGGUUGCAGUGAGCCGGGAUUGCACCACUGCACUCCAACCUGGGUGACAGAAUGAGACUCUGUCUCCAAAAAAGAAAAGAAAAGGAAUAAGGAUUGUAAAAAAAAAAAAAAAAAAAAAAGCAAAAAUUAUAGAUGUUAUGAUUGUAUACAGAAGGAAUUUUUAAAUCUAUAAUUAGAAUUAAUCUAUAAUUCAAGUUUCCUGGACUUCAAAAAAAUCAAUAUACAAAAAUCAAUGUGUUUAACAGCAACAAAGGGAAAAUUAUAUUUUAAAAGGACAGCCUUCAUAAUAUAAUUUUAAAAUACCAAAUUAUUCAGAAUUUAGUAACAGCUGAAUAAGUCUCUAAUGCAGAAAAAUAUAUAGUAUUAUUGACAGAAACCAAAGAAGAUCUCAGUAAAUAGAGUAAUAUAUGAUGUUCAUGGAUUUGAAAACUCAAUAUUACAAACACUGUCAGUUCUUCUCACAGUGAUAUACAGACUCAAUGUAAUUUCUAAUAAAAACCCAUGUAGCUAGGUGCUGUGGCUCACAUUAGUCUAUAAUCCCAGCACUUUGGGAGGCUGAGGCUGGAGGAUCGCUUGAGCCCAGGAGUUUGAGACCAGCUGGGCAACAUGACGAAACCACAUCUCACAUCUCUACAAAAAACAUAUAAAAAUUAGCUGAGCAUGGUGGCACACACCUGAAGUUGCAGCUACUCAGGAGGAUAAAGUAGGAGGCAUACCUGAGCCCAAGAGUUCAAGGCUGUAAUGAGUUAUGAUCAUGCCACUGCACUCCAGCCUGAGUGACAAAGCGAGAUGGAUUUUUUUCUAGAACUUGGUAAGAUAAUUUUUACGUUUACGUGGACAUGUGAAAGACCGAGAAGAGCUAGGUCACUACAGAGGAAGAAUGAAGUUAAAGAAAUUGCUCUAAAUUUCUGUGAAGUGGCACAGUAACGCAUUCCAGGAGGACAUCGCUGAGGGCCCCAAUUGUGAGGACAUUGCCCAUCAAUCUUGGAGCCUCCACACCAAGCUGGGAUUCUCUCUCUUCUGGACUUCAUAGCCUUCUGAGACCGCACUGGGGAGAACAGUAAGAGAGCUUUGUAAGGCCACUCUGGCUCCUCACCCACCUUUUCUGGGCUCACUCUUCUGAAGCCAUAGCUGACCUAAGCGACCCACCUGGGCUUUUAAGGUGGGCUACAUUCCCCCAGGCCCAGGAACUACAAAUGGGAGGCCAGGAGUGCUAUAUGCCGCAGCCAGAGGCGUCUGUGCUCCAAAAAGUCUUCUGAGUGGGCUUCUCAGCAGUGGAUGGGAACGUAGGGCAGUCUUCUCCUCCCCACACCACUCAAAACUGCAAUUUUACAAACCAAGAAUUAAAGCCUGGAAUACUCAGUGUCCUGUGGUCUCCCAAAGUGGGAGGAUCCUAAAGCAGGACGGGCUUCCCUUAGAAGCCAGGCAUAUUGGCAGGAGGUACCCAGGUAAACAAGCAACCUUGGGGCAAUGUUAAUCUGCUUUUUCUCUUCUUCGGUGUCUGGCUGAGUCUAAAUUGAAUUAUUAAUCUACUCCUGUGUGCCCGUGUCAUUUUCCAGACAACCAGUUUAUUCAUGACUCGCCCACUAUCAAUUUCAACAUGCAAUUUGCAAUGAAAUUUGACUGAUCAGCAAUACCAUAAUUAGUUGCAAAUGUCUGUGCUUGUAUUUGUUUGGUGUAGGGGCUUUUUCAUUAAAGUGACGGAGGCCCAUAAACACCAUGACUUGCUCUGGGACACAGGACUCGCAACAGUUAUGUCAUGGGCCAGGAUAGGAGCGCUGGCAAAGAGAUUGUGGGAGCUUGAAGUUGCAGCACCAGGGGUUGUGUUGUCAUCUUUACAGUCCUGUGUUCACCAAGAGUCAUCCAGGUUGGGCAAAUGGUGACAUGUGUAAUCCAUGAGGAGGAAGAGAACUGGAGUUACCCUGUGCGGCCUCUCCCUUAAAUCUCCCCAGAUCCUGCUGGCACACCUGCAGUAACAGGGGGCUUCCUACCUGGUGAGGCAGCUCCCCUUGUGAGAAAGUUCUUCCUUGCCUGGGUUCCCACUUGCCUGUUGUAGGUCCGUCCCACCUAGUCCAGGGUUCUGGUCUUAACUCAGAAAUCAUUACAUUGCCUGAGCUUGGGCCAGUCUCUAAGCCUCAGCUUAUUCAUCUGAAAAAAGUUGUCCUACCUCAAGGAUUUCUAACUGCAAGUAACAGAAAAUGGCUCUUAACUUAGGCAGAUUGACUAGCUGACUUAAGGAGAAAAAUAAUAAAGAUAUUGAGCAGCUCAGAGAAUCUCUGGACAGAGCAGAAAAAGCAGACCCAGGGACUACACAGCAAUGAGCAAGGCCCCAGAUCACACUGAAGAACUGGUUUAGUCAGGGCCUUGCUGCCAUCAUGGUCAUCACCGACACCAUGCUCUAGACUCUGCAGGCUAGGCUGCAGGGACCAUGUCCGUGCCCUCAGGUGCCACCACCUCUACCACCCUGAGGACGCCAGCCUGCUACACCCACAGUAACCAUUAAGGAGAGUUCUCUGUGUUCUCUGCUUCCUGGGGUCAUUAGCUCUUGGGUUAGUCUGGAGCUUGUGUGGUUGAUUGUGAGAGCCUAGGUCUUGUGCCCUUACCCAGCCACUGGGAGGCUGGCAAAAGAGUGCACAUGGUACUUGCAGCCUCUAAAGAGGGAAAUGGGCUCUGUCUCAGAGUGAAGGUAAUUUCCCAACACAGGAAGAGGGCUCAGAUCCUGGGUAGCCAAAAGAAAGAACAAAGAAUCAAAUAAGAUAUAGAUGUUAAAGAGGUUUUAGAAUAUAUUAAGCUUGGGGGCUGGACGCCAUGGCUCACACCUGGAAUCCCAGCACUUUGGGAGGCUAAGGCAGGAGGAUCACUUGAGGCCAGGAAUUGGAGGUUGCAGUGAGCUAUGAUCAUGCCACUGCGCUCCAGCCUGGGCAACAGAGCAAGACUUUGUCUCAAAAAAAACAAGAAGAAAGAGAAAGAGAGAGAAUAUCAAGCUCUACACACCUGCCAAAGAUUAUUCUUAUUCAUUCAUAAGUAUUUCUGCAGAUAUUAAAAGGGCAAAGUUGUGGUCCUUACCCUCAAAGAAAACACAGUACAUUCAGGGAGUAAGAAGGCAUGGGUCAGAUGACCCCCGUUCCAGGCAGAGGGUGAUGACUCUUGUGGAUUCUGAAUGUCCAGAUUACAUGGUGAUUAACUAUGAAACACUAGGUCUCAGAGGGGUGGGCAGUAUCUGGAGGCUUCUGGGACAGCCCAACAUUUUCUUGGAGUUGGGUGGUAUGUCAUAUGCUCUCUGUAUCCUGUGCAUCAGUACACCGAUGUCCUAUAUAGACCCAGACCAGAAGAAUCCUGCCCAUACAUGACUGUUUCCUAUUGAUAGCUGUUGUCAUUUCUCUGCUUAGUACCCACUCCCCCUCUUCUGGUAAUAGCACCCCAAUUUUACCUGGGGAACUACUCUUGUCAUUUUCAGCUCAUGUACUUCAGGUGGAAUUAAUUCCAUGGCGUAAGAGUCACAGGUGAAUCAAGCCUGGCUAAUCAGAGCUGUAUAGCGCAUUAUGCACUAUGCAGAGCUGCACAGUGGUUGGUUUAGGGAUGGGCAUGGGACCCAAGCCAAGCCAUGAGGUCCAAUCAGAGCGAAUAUCAGAUAUUCAAGUGGACAGAAAAAGAUGCUCUUCUUUCUCUUGGACUUGGAGAUGUGAGAGCAUCAGCAGCUGCUGACAGCUGUCUUGCCACCAGAGUCUGAGAACAAGGCCAACUCUAAAGAAAGCAGAAGUGAAAAAUGGCCUGGUCCAAUGAUAUUUUUGAGCCCCUGGAUCAAACUGUGCCUGAAGCCCCAGAAUAUUUCCAUUAUGUAAACAAAACCAACCAACAAAUAAAUAGGUCUCUUGCUUAAACCAAUUUGGAUGAGUUUUAUAUCACUUGCAGCUAAAAAUGUUCUAAUUGGCUCUCACCCACACACCCUGUCAAAGCACCAGCCUAGAGCCAACUCCUUGGGAAUGUCCAUAAUGAAAUCACCAGAGGGUCUUCUCUCUGGUCCAGUAGUUCUUCAGAGCCCCAGGGUAAGGCAAGUCCCCCGCUAUCUUCCCACUAUACAAAAGAGAAGACG